UCUCGUGACUGCGUGCCUUUUGAAGAAUGAGCCUGCGAGUUUGCGGUGUGUUGCGAGGUUAACCCGGGUGGGGUAGCCGUAGCGAAAGCGAGUCCGAACAGGGCGCUAUCAGUAGCACGCUCAAGACCCGAAGCGGAGUGAUCUAGCCAUGGGCAGGUUGAAGCGGAGGUAAGACUUCGUGGAGGACCGAACCCACCAGGUUGAAAACCUGGGGGAUGACCUGUGGUUAGGGGUGAAAGGCCAAUCAAACUCCGUGAUAGCUGGUUCUCCCCGAAAUGCAUUUAGGUGCAGCGUCGUGUGUUUCUUGCCGGAGGUAGAGCACUGGAUAGGCGAUGGCUACCGGGUUACUGACCUUAGCCAAACUCCGAAUGCCGGUAAGUGAGAGCGCGGCAGUGAGACUGUGGGGGAUAAGCUCCAUGGUCGAGAGGGAAACAGCCCAGAGCAUCGACUAAGGCCCCUAAGCGUACGCUAAGUGGGAAAGGAUGUGGAGUCGCAGAGACAACCAGGAGGUUGGCUUAGAAGCAGCCACCCUUGAAAGAGUGCGUAAUAGCUCACUGGUCUAGUGAUUCCGCGCCGACAAUGUAGCGGGGCUCAAGCGUACCGCCGAAGUCGUGUCAUUGCAGCAGAUAGCCCCAACGGGUGCUGUGAUGGGUAGGGGAGCGUCGUCUGCCGGGUGAAGCGGCACUGGAAGGUAGUCGUGGACGGUUGACGAGUGAGAAUGCAGGCAUGAGUAGCGAUUCACACGUGAGAAACGUGUGCGCCGAUUGACUAAGGUUCCUGGGUCAAGCUGAUCUGCCCAGGGUAAGUCGGGACCUAAGGCGAGGCCGACAGGCGUAGUCGAUGGAUAACCGGUUGAUAUUCCGGUACCCGCUGUGAAGCGUCAAACAUCGAAUCCAGUGAUGCUAAGCCCGUGAAGCCGCCGGCUGAGUCUUCGGACGAGGUCGGAGUGGUGGAGCCGGUGACCCGAGCUGGUAGUAGGUGAGUGAUGGGGUGACGCAGGAAGGUAGUCCAUCCCGGGCGGUGGUUGUCCCGGGGUAAGGGUGUAGCCCGAGUGGUAGGCAAAUCCGCCACUCACGCAGGGUGAGACCUGAUGCCGAGCCGAUUGUGGUGAAGUGGAUGAUCCUAUGCUGUCGAGAAAAGCCUCUAGCGAGUUUCAUGGCGGCCCGUACCCUAAACCGACUCAGGUGGUCAGGUAGAGAAUACCGAGGCGUUCGGGUGAACUAUGGUUAAGGAACUCGGCAAAAUGCCCCCGUAACUUCGGGAGAAGGGGGGCCAGCUCUGGUGAGAGGACUUGCUCCUCGAGCUGGGGGUGGCCGCAGAGACCAGCGAGAAGCGACUGUUUACUAAAAACACAGGUCCGUGCGAAGCCGUAAGGCGAUGUAUACGGACUGACGCCUGCCCGGUGCUGGAACGUUAAGGGGACCGGUUAGCUCCAUUUCGGUGGGGCGAAGCUGAGAACUUAAGCGCCAGUAAACGGCGGUGGUAACUAUAACCAUCCUAAGGUAGCGAAAUUCCUUGUCGGGUAAGUUCCGACCUGCACGAAUGGCGUAACGACUUCUCGACUGUCUCAACCAUAGGCCCGGUGAAAUUGCACUACGAGUAAAGAUGCUCGUUUCGCGCAGCAGGACGGAAAGACCCCGGGACCUUUACUACAGUUUGAUAUUGGUGUUCGGUUCGGCUUGUGUAGGAUAGCUGGGAGACUGUGAAGCAUGGACGCCAGUUCGUGUGGAGUCGUCGUUGAAAUACCAGUCUGGUCGUGCUGGAUGUCUAACCUGGGUCCGUGAUCCGGAUCAGGGACAGUGUCUGAUGGGUAGUUUAACUGGGGCGGUUGCCUCCUAAAGGGUAACGGAGGCGCCCAAAGGUUCCCUCAGCCUGGUUGGCAAUCAGGUGUUGAGUGUAAGUGCACAAGGGAGCUUGACUGUGAGACCGACGGGUCGAGCAGGGACGAAAGUCGGGACUAGUGAUCCGGCGGUGGCUUGUGGAAGCGCCGUCGCUCAACGGAUAAAAGGUACCCCGGGGAUAACAGGCUGAUCUUCCCCAAGAGUCCAUAUCGACGGGAUGGUUUGGCACCUCGAUGUCGGCUCGUCGCAUCCUGGGGCUGGAGUCGGUCCCAAGGGUUGGGCUGUUCGCCCAUUAAAGCGGUACGCGAGCUGGGUUUAGAACGUCGUGAGACAGUUCGGUCCCUAUCCGCUGUGCGCGUAGGAGUCUUGAGAAGGGCUGUCCCUAGUACGAGAGGACCGGGACGGACGAACCUCUGGUGUGCCAGUUGUUCUGCCAAGGGCAUGGCUGGUUGGCUACGUUCGGGAGGGAUAACCGCUGAAAGCAUCUAAGCGGGAAGCCUGCUUCGAGAUGAGGACUCCCACCCACUUGAUGGGGUAAGGCUCCCAGUAGACGACUGGGUUGAUAGGCCGGAUCUGGAAGCCAGGUAACUGGUGGAGGUGACCGGUACUAAUAGGCCGAGGGCUUGUCCUC
This 2472-nucleotide ribosomal RNA is filed under the name Streptomyces naganishii JCM 4654. RNAcentral's name for it is "bacterial LSU rRNA". It matches the Rfam family "Bacterial large subunit ribosomal RNA", at positions 589 to 2925 of the family's 2925-position model. The record is from RNAcentral. Lineage: Bacteria; Bacillati; Actinomycetota; Actinomycetes; Kitasatosporales; Streptomycetaceae.